Molecule: ribosomal RNA, 578 nt
Filed under: Cochlostoma roseoli
Lineage: Eukaryota; Metazoa; Mollusca; Gastropoda; Architaenioglossa; Cochlostomatidae
Description: partial 28S ribosomal RNA
Rfam family: Eukaryotic large subunit ribosomal RNA (bases 338-578)
Source: RNAcentral
AUGCUCAUGCACUCUCCCGUCGCUCUACGCUGGCUUGACGUGUGCACUUUUCGCGGGCAGAGCGCCACGACCGGUUUUCGGGCAGUCAGAAGGCGGCUGGGGAAGGUAGGCAGGCGCUUCGGCGUCUGCUGUUAUAGACCCGCCUGUCCUGACCUGCUCGGGGACCGAGGAGCCGCCGCUCGGCUGAGGCUGCCCUGCUCUCCUGGAGGGUUCGACUGGCAGAGACUGGGCAACCGUGUCUGCUGACCGCCUUUCAGGAUGGACGGGGAUGAGCCUGCCGGGCACAGGGUCGGUGGCGAAUCGGUCGGCACUCCACCCGACCCGUCUUGAAACACGGACCAAGGAGUCUAACAUGCGCGCGAGUCGUUGGGUAGUACGAAACCCGAAGGCGAAGUGAAAGCGAGGGCCGUCCUCGCGACGUGCUCAGGUGGGAUCCCGUGCCAUCCCGGCGCGGGCGCACCACUGGCCCGUCUCGUUCGCGUCGUCGAUGAGGCGGAGCAAGAGCGUGCACGUUGGGACCCGAAAGAUGGUGAACUAUGCCUGAGUAGGAUGAAGCCAGAGGAAACUCUGGUGGAGGU